CAGUAUGUCGAUUCUGUAGAUCUCGAACAAUAACUCGCUUAUCACUUCGACGCUCACUUACACUUCGCAUUCGAUCUCACCUGACCUUGAUUUGGUAUUCUGUAAACAUCACUAGCUCACUUGCGAAGUGAAGUGAGCUUCGAUAUAUCUUUCGAGUUACUAGUGAUUGGCGCUUAAUGAGAAGAUACCAAUCGUGGUUUGGUGCAUAGAUUGUGGUGUUUUGGCUGCGUGUGGACAUAUUUUGAAACGGGAUAAUGAAUGUAAGCAAGCGCUCAUCCCAUCUGUCCUUUGCCCUAAUAGAAGCAAUGAUUGACUUCCUGGAGAGAAACCCAGAUCUGGCAAAGGGUUUUUCAAAAACUCAAUAUGCCAGAGAGUGGAGCACUAGGAAAUUUUGUCAUAGCGGCUCAAUAAUACGGGUGGGACGAUUAAAACAUACAAGCAGUGGACCAAACAAUCAGACCCAAUACAAUUGGUUCCCCAGCCUCCCUCUUUAAUACAAAGCAGUGGACAUUCAGAAAUUUCAGUGAGUUGAAGAGCAGCAGUUAGAAAUUCGGCGGCCCAAUGCACCGGUCAAGGCGAGCAUGAUGAAGCACAGCAUUGAGAGAGACGGAAUUGCCGCUAACGCUGUGGCGGCAGUGGAGGAAGAAUUAAAUGCGC
RNAcentral lists this long non-coding RNA (657 nucleotides) under Pectinophora gossypiella (pink bollworm). RNAcentral's name for it is "uncharacterized LOC126379302". The record is from RNAcentral. Lineage: Eukaryota; Metazoa; Arthropoda; Insecta; Lepidoptera; Gelechiidae.